GAUGAACGCUGGCGGCGUGCCUAACACAUGCAAGUCGAGCGGACCAAUGCUCAUUUCAGCUUUGCCGAUUUGAGCAACGGUUAGCGGCGGACGGGUGAGUAACGCGUGGGCAACCUGCCCUGUGCAGGGGGAUAACACAGCGAAAGCUGUGCUAAUACCACAUAAGACUACGCUAUCGCAUGAUAGAGUAGUCAAAGCUUUAGCGGCACAGGAUGGGCCCGCGUCUGAUUAGCUAGUUGGUGGGGUAACGGCCUACCAAGGCGACGAUCAGUAGCCGACCUGAGAGGGUGAUCGGCCACACUGGAACUGAGACACGGUCCAGACUCCUACGGGAGGCAGCAGUGGGGAAUAUUGCACAAUGGGGGAAACCCUGAUGCAGCAACGCCGCGUGAGCGAAGAAGGCCUUCGGGUCGUAAAGCUCUGUCCUAAGGGAAGAAGUAUGACGGUACCUUAGGAGGAAGCCCCGGCUAACUACGUGCCAGCAGCCGCGGUAAUACGUAGGGGGCGAGCGUUAUCCGGAAUCACUGGGCGUAAAGGGUGCGUAGGCGGCCGAGUAAGCCAGAGGUGAAAGGCUACGGCUUAACCGUAGUAAGCCUUUGGAACUACUUGGCUUGAGUGCAGGAGAGGAGAGUGGAAUUCCUAGUGUAGCGGUGAAAUGCGUAGAUAUUA
Molecule: ribosomal RNA, 669 nt
Filed under: uncultured bacterium
Lineage: Bacteria
Description: bacterial SSU rRNA
Rfam family: Bacterial small subunit ribosomal RNA
Source: RNAcentral